This 187-nucleotide unclassified non-coding RNA is filed under the name plant metagenome. Its description in RNAcentral is "partial contains small subunit ribosomal RNA and internal transcribed spacer 1". The stretch from base 1 to 46 matches the Rfam family "Eukaryotic small subunit ribosomal RNA", at positions 1786 to 1831 of the family's 1831-position model. The record is from RNAcentral.
AAGUCGUAACAAGGUCUCCGUUGGUGAACCAGCGGAGGGAUCAUUACUGAGUACUACACUCUCUACCCUUUGUGAACUAUUAUACCUGUUGCUUCGGCGGCGCCCGCGAGGGUGCCCGCCGGUCUCAUCAGAAUCUCUGUUUUCGAACCCGACGAUACUUCUGAGUAUUCUUAGCGAACUGUCAAAA